RNAcentral lists this ribosomal RNA (492 nucleotides) under uncultured bacterium. RNAcentral describes it as "partial 16S ribosomal RNA". It matches the Rfam family "Bacterial small subunit ribosomal RNA", at positions 29 to 507 of the family's 1533-position model. The record is from RNAcentral.
AGUGAACGCUGGCGGUAGGCCUAACACAUGCAAGUCGAACGGCAGCACAGUAAGAGCUUGCUCUUACGGGUGGCGAGUGGCGGACGGGUGAGGAAUACAUCGGAAUCUACUUUUUCGUGGGGGAUAACGUAGGGAAACUUACGCUAAUACCGCAUACGACCUACGGGUGAAAGCAGGGGAUCUUCGGACCUUGCGCGAUUGAAUGAGCCGAUGUCGGAUUAGCUAGUUGGCGGGGUAAAGGCCCACCAAGGCGACGAUCCGUAGCUGGUCUGAGAGGAUGAUCAGCCACACUGGAACUGAGACACGGUCCAGACUCCUACGGGAGGCAGCAGUGGGGAAUAUUGGACAAUGGGCGCAAGCCUGAUCCAGCCAUACUGCGUGGGUGAAGAAGGCCUUCGGGUUGUAAAACCCUUUUGUUGGGAAAGAAAAGCAGCAGGUUAAUACCCCGCUGUUCUGACGGUACCCAAAGAAUAAGCACCGGCUAACUUCGUG